GACGAACGCUGGCGGCGUGCUUAACACAUGCAAGUCGAACGGAAAGGCCCUGCUUUUGUGGGGUGCUCGAGUGGCGAACGGGUGAGUAACACGUGAGUAACCUGCCCUUGUCUUUGGGAUAACUUCAGGAAACUGGGGCUAAUACCGGAUAGGAGCUCCUGCUGCAUGGUGGGGGUUGGAAAGUUUCGGCGGUUGGGGAUGGACUCGCGGCUUAUCAGCUUGUUGGUGGGGUAGUGGCUUACCAAGGCUUUGACGGGUAGCCGGCCUGAGAGGGUGACCGGCCACAUGGGGACUGAGAUACGGCCCAGACUCCUACGGGAGGCAGCAGGCGGGAAUAUUGCACAAUGGGCGGAAGCCUGAUGCAGCAACGCCGCGUGCGGGAUGACGGCCUUCGGGUUGUAAACCGCUGUCGCCUGUGACGAAGCGUGAGUGACGGUAAUGGGUAAAGAAGCACCGGCUAACUACGUG
RNAcentral lists this ribosomal RNA (468 nucleotides) under uncultured bacterium. Its description in RNAcentral is "partial 16S ribosomal RNA". It matches the Rfam family "Bacterial small subunit ribosomal RNA", at positions 28 to 507 of the family's 1533-position model. The record is from RNAcentral.